Molecule: ribosomal RNA, 500 nt
Filed under: uncultured Glomeromycotina
Lineage: Eukaryota; Fungi; Glomeromycota
Description: partial small subunit ribosomal RNA
Rfam family: Eukaryotic small subunit ribosomal RNA
Source: RNAcentral
CCAAUAGCGUAUAUUAAAGUUGUUGCAGUUAAAAAGCUCGUAGUUGAAUUUCGGGAUCAAUAUAUCGGUCGUGCCAUCGGUACGUACUGGUAUCAUUGGUUUCUCCUUUCUGACGAACCAUGAUGUCAUUAAUUUUGUGUUAUUGGAAGUUAGGACUGUUACUUUGAAAAAAUUAGAGUGUUUAAAGCAGGCUUUAGCUUGAAUACAUUAGCAUGGAAUAAUGAAAUAGAACGUUCGAACCUAUUUUGUUGGUUUCUAGUAUCAACGUAAUGAUUAAUAGGGAUAGUUGGGGGCAUUAGUAUUCAAUUGUCAGAGGUGAAAUUCUUGGAUUUAUUGAAGACUAACUACUGCUAAAGCAUUUGCCAAGGAUGUUUUCAUUAAUCAAGAACGAAAGUUAGGGGAUCGAAGACGAUCAGAUACCGUCGUAGUCUUAACCAUAAACUAUGCCGACUAGGGAUCGGAUGAUGUUAAUUUUUUAAUGACUCAUUCGGCGCCUUACG